UACAGAGGUCCCAAGCGUUGUUCGGAUUCACUGGGCGUAAAGGGUGCGUAGGUGGUGAAGUAAGUCGGAUGUGAAAUCUCGGAGCUUAACUCCGAAACUGCAUUGGAAACUACUUUGCUCGAGGGUUGGAGGGGGGACUGGAAUUCUCGGUGUAGCAGUGAAAUGCGUAGAUAUCAAGUGGAACACCAGUGGCGAAGGCGAAUCCCUGGAAAAUACCUGACACUGAGGCACGAAAGCUAGGGGAGCAAACAGG
This 253-nucleotide ribosomal RNA is filed under the name uncultured bacterium. Its description in RNAcentral is "partial 16S ribosomal RNA". It matches the Rfam family "Bacterial small subunit ribosomal RNA", at positions 524 to 776 of the family's 1533-position model. The record is from RNAcentral.